This 650-nucleotide long non-coding RNA is filed under the name Nicotiana tabacum (common tobacco). RNAcentral's name for it is "long non-coding RNA (NTAB_LNC005545)". Lineage: Eukaryota; Viridiplantae; Streptophyta; Magnoliopsida; Solanales; Solanaceae. The record is from RNAcentral.
UGGCCCAUAAAUUAUUAUCCUUCUAAUACCCUCCUUAAACCCCAAAAUCACUAACAUCCACCCCUCUUCUUCCGCCGCGGCCGCCGCCGUAAUCUCAUUCAUACGACGACGUUUAGGGUAUAAUCAUGAACGCUCCAUCACCCCACCACGAUGAAGAUGAACACGAAGAAGAGGUCUUCAUAGAUGAAAAUGAUAUCAUUCAAGAAAUAAACGUUGAUGAAGAAGGUAUAAAACAAAAGUCCAAUCUUUUCCCCCAAACUCUUAUUUUUUUAUUUUAUUAUAGUUAGAUUUAUGGACAACUACAAAACAAAUAAUGGUUGCAGAGUUAAUUGAUGCUGAUGAAGAUGAUGAAGGAGAAGAAGAAGGAGGAGGAUUGUUAGGUGAGUUAUGUUUGGCUCAAUGGAAGUCUUUUGUUUUAAGUUUUCAGCUUUCUAUUUGACUUAAUCACUUCUAGAUGCCUUCUGAGUAUAUACAGCUAAAAUUUCAUAUAUCUUGGUUACUCAUGUUUCUGCUGUAAUUACUUUUACUUGCUCCCUACAUCCCAAUUUAUGUGAAUGUAUUUGACUGCACUACAGGUUUAAGAAAUAAAGAAAGACUAUUGUAACUUGUGGUCUAAAACAAGCCAUAUAUUUUUGUGAUUAUAAAUCACC